GCCUGCAUGUGGAGUGUACCUGUAGUCCCAGCUACUUGGGAGACUGAGACAGGAAGGUUGCUUUAGCCCAGGAGUUCAAGGCCAGCCUGGGCAACAUAGGAAAUCUUCAUCUCAA
Molecule: small RNA, 115 nt
Filed under: Marmota monax (woodchuck)
Lineage: Eukaryota; Metazoa; Chordata; Mammalia; Rodentia; Sciuridae
Source: RNAcentral